This is a non-coding RNA of Oryza sativa Japonica Group (Japanese rice), 2409 nucleotides long. The record is from RefSeq and is a predicted model, not a curated record. NCBI's taxonomy places the organism in Eukaryota, Viridiplantae, Streptophyta, Magnoliopsida, Poales, Poaceae.
CAAACAUGGUGAGGACAGAUUAUUUUGUUCAAAUUUUUAUGGCUAUGGACUCGUAACUAGUCGAUCACACCACACUUACACCAACACACUCAAAUAUAUAAGCAUAUUACUUAGUCGUAGAAGAACGAACAAAACAACCAGAAGAUGAAAAGAAAAGAACACUAAAAUUAAUUGUGGAAAAAACUCCAAAAUCAACUUUAAAAUUAAAUUCUAAAAUUUAAAUGAGCCAUGGCGGUAAACCAACCAGUAAACAAAUAUUUUGUUUGGGGAGCUUAAAAAUCUAAAAACAGCUGGUUUGUAUCUAGCUUCCGAGAAUUUAAAAAAGUUGAUUUUCCCAACUUCUGAUUUCUAAUUUACUGUAUGGGUUCUAUAACUACGUAUUUUAAAAAUCCUAGCCAAAAAUCUAGAUUUUUAAAAAGAACUAGAUAUUCUAAAAGAAGCUAUAGCCUCCAGGUUGUUGCGGGUCGCCGCCGUCAGAGCUAUGUCCGCCCCCAAUUGGAUCGUUGCUGGGGGACUGAACUUACUCUUGCUGGCCCAUGUGGCCAUGUAUAUGGGCCGGCCCAAAUCCAUGGCCCAUGUGACCCAUGUAUAUGGGCCGGCCCACUCCGUACGCGCGGCGGGCCGCAACGCAACCCCACCUGGCCGGGCCCGUGAAAUGCGUAAAGCGCCGUCCCCGAACUGCGCCGCAUUUGACCGAUUCCGGCGGCGGCGGCGGCGGCGGCGGUUUCCGGGACGAAGAGGCGGAUCGGCGCCGGAGAUCCGACGAAUCCACGGCGGCACCGGCGGCGGAGGUGCUAGGAUGGAAUCGGGGCCAGCAUUUCUUCACCCCGCACAUUUUGAAUUUUUGAUCCGACGGUUUCUGUGACUCGAGGCCGGAGAAAUUGGAAAGCCGGCGCGUCGUCGUCGUCGAGAUCGGCGCCGUCGUGUGCAUCGAUGAUUCAACGUGGUCGAGGAGAGGAUCGCUCGCGCUCGCGGCGGAUCAGAUUCAGAGACCGUCCCCAAACCUCAUGUAAAGCUGUGCAGACAAACCUCUACAAGAGCAACAAAUGAGGCCAUCAUCAUGGCAAAAGAUUCACCAGCAUCAAAUGUUGGAGCCCCCCAUUGAAAAGGGAAAGGAACUCUUAUCCUACAAGAUUUUUUUUUCAGUGCUUCUAUGAUGAGUACUAUCAAUAAAGGGCCCAGGAAGAGAAAUGAUGAAACACUCAUGAAUUGCUUACCAUGGAGCUCCACUGAUAAUUCCAGAGCGAUCAACACGACAGUGCACUUGUGUCUUCGGCCGGGCAUUCUUGUAUGCGCCACUAGCAGUUAGAAUGUAUGCAUACAGCCACACAAUAGCAAUGGUGAAAAUCACAGCAAACCGGUCGAACACGGGCUUUGCCACAUGUAUGACAUGGGGUAAAUACUGCACAAGGGGGCAAAUGCAGUUAGCUCAUGACUUUCAGCAACCACAGCUAUACUUGUGUGAAUAUGCAUUAUGACUGCUGCAAUCACCUGAGAAAAUACAAGCAGUAGAAUGAUUUCUGGGAGCCCAAUUUCCACGCACUUUGCAACCUGCACAUACAGUUGUGGCACUAAAAUCAGUCUUAUGAGGUAGGGAACAGCCAAAGAAAAAAAAAAGAAUCUCCAAGCUAACUCUUACCCCUGGAAAACCAAGCUCAUAGAGGCCAAAUCCAGCAAGUGAGAUCAAAGGAACAGCAGACAAUGGACUAAGAAGUCUGUGAAAGAGUGGGCAAUGGUCAAGCCACAAACUAAAACAAUACAUUGUGCAACGAGUCGCCAAACCUGAUAACUGAAACACUGCAGUUGGCAAGCCUGCAAACUGAAAUGAUGCAAUUGCACAAUGUACAUUCAGAAGUUCAACAAUGAUACCUACCUAACUACAUUGCGCCAGAGACCACUGAAACCAAGUAUGAUCUGGAUUGUCGAUGCAAUGAUGAGAGCACCUUGUGUUCCUCGCAUUGUCCGCAAGAAUUUCUUCACAGCAGUAGCAAAAUCUUACCAACUUUACAAGAUCACACAGAGGAUGUGACAAUCUUAAUGCUUAGAUACAGCUAGUGCGGAUACUACCUCAUGAGGAUCUGCUUCAUUGCUAUAGCGGCCAGCCAAUAUGAUGGAAAUUGUCGGCGCAACAAUGGUGUACGAUCCUCCCAUCACAGCUGGAAGACGAGUCCCGAAGAACGAUUGGCAGAGGGUGUUUAUCCCGGCAACGAACAGCAGCGUCUGAAUCACCCGAGCCUUCUCCUCCUGAGUGGCAAUGCAACGAAAUGCAGGUGAUUCUUGGGGAGACUCACAUUUCCACCUCCCAUCUGGGGAACAAGAGCACUGGGAAUAAUCACUGAUGUGCCCAGCAUCACAAUGUAGUGCUGGAAUCCAAGUAUGACGGCCUCAGCUGCAGGAAAAGAGAGAUUC